This 438-nucleotide ribosomal RNA is filed under the name uncultured bacterium. Its description in RNAcentral is "bacterial SSU rRNA". It matches the Rfam family "Bacterial small subunit ribosomal RNA", at positions 954 to 1392 of the family's 1533-position model. The record is from RNAcentral.
GCAUAACGCGAAGAACCUUACCAGGUCUUGACAUCCCUCUGUAAGCUCUAGAGAUAGGGCCCUCCUUCGGGACAGAGGAGACAGGUGGUGCAUGGUUGUCGUCAGCUCGUGUCGUGAGAUGUUGGGUUAAGUCCCGCAACGAGCGCAACCCUUGAUCUUAGUUGCCAGCACUUCGGGUGGGCACUCUAGGAUGACUGCCGGUGACAAACCGGAGGAAGGUGGGGAUGACGUCAAAUCAUCAUGCCCCUUAUGACCUGGGCUACACACGUACUACAAUGGUCGGUACAACGGGAAGCGAAGCCGCGAGGUGGAGCCAAUCCUUAUAAGCCGAUCUCAGUUCGGAUUGCAGGCUGCAACUCGCCUGCAUGAAGUCGGAAUUGCUAGUAAUCGCGGAUCAGCAUGCCGCGGUGAAUACGUUCCCGGGUCUUGUACACACCG